Molecule: ribosomal RNA, 258 nt
Filed under: uncultured Leptotrichia sp.
Lineage: Bacteria; Fusobacteriati; Fusobacteriota; Fusobacteriia; Fusobacteriales; Leptotrichiaceae
Description: partial 16S ribosomal RNA
Rfam family: Bacterial small subunit ribosomal RNA
Source: RNAcentral
GGCGGACGGGUGAGUAACGCGUAAAGAACUUGCCCUUUAGACUGGGAUAACAGAGGGAAACUUCUGAUAAUACUGGAUAAGUUAGUAUAUCGCAUGAUAUGCAAAUGAAAGCUACGGCACUAAAGGAGAGCUUUGCGUCCUAUUAGCUAGUUGGUAAGGUAAGAGCUUACCAAGGCGAUGAUAGGUAGCCGGCCUGAGAGGGUGGACGGCCACAGGGGGACUGAGAUACGGCCCUUACUCCUACGGGAGGCAGCAGCC